This 497-nucleotide ribosomal RNA is filed under the name uncultured bacterium. RNAcentral's name for it is "partial 16S ribosomal RNA". It matches the Rfam family "Bacterial small subunit ribosomal RNA", at positions 28 to 507 of the family's 1533-position model. The record is from RNAcentral.
GAUGAACGCUGGCGGCGUGCCUAAUACAUGCCAGUCGAGCGAACGGACGAGAAGCUUGCUUUUCUGAUGUUAGCGGCGGACGGGUGAGUAACACGUGGAUAACCUACCUAUAAGACUGGGAUAACUUCGGGAAACCGGAGCUAAUACCGGAUAAUAUUUUGAACCGCAUGGUUCAAAAGUGAAAGACGGUCUUGCUGUCACUUAUAGAUGGAUCCGCGCUGCAUUAGCUAGUUGGUAAGGUAACGGCUUACCAAGGCAACGAUGCAUAGCCGACCUGAGAGGGUGAUCGGCCACACUGGAACUGAGACACGGUCCAGACUCCUACGGGAGGCAGCAGUAGGGAAUCUUCCGCAAUGGGCGAAAGCCUGACGGAGCAACGCCGCGUGAGUGAUGAAGGUCUUCGGAUCGUAAUACUCUGUUAUUAGGGAAGAACACAUGUGUAAGUAACUGUGCACAUCUUGACGGUACCUAAUCAGAAAGCCACGGCUAACUACGUG